AACUCCGGGAAACCGGGGCUAAUACCGGAUAACAUUUUGAACCGCAUGGUUCGAAAUUGAAAGGCGGCUUCGGCUGUCACUUAUGGAUGGACCCGCGUCGCAUUAGCUAGUUGGUGAGGUAACGGCUCACCAAGGCAACGAUGCGUAGCCGACCUGAGAGGGUGAUCGGCCACACUGGGACUGAGACACGGCCCAGACUCCUACGGGAGGCAGCAGUAGGGAAUCUUCCGCAAUGGACGAAAGUCUGACGGAGCAACGCCGCGUGAGUGAUGAAGGCUUUCGGGUCGUAAAACUCUGUUGUUAGGGAAGAACAAGUGCUAGUUGAAUAAGCUGGCACCUUGACGGUACCUAACCAGAAAGCCACGGCUAACUACGUGCCAGCAGCCGCGGUAAUACGUAGGUGGCAAGCGUUAUCCGGAAUUAUUGGGCGUAAAGCGCGCGCAGGUGGUUUCUUAAGUCUGAUGUGAAAGCCCACGGCUCAACCGUGGAGGGUCAUUGGAAACUGGGAGACUUGAGUGCAGAAGAGGAAAGUGGAAUUCCAUGUGUAGCGGUGAAAUGCGUAGAGAUAUGGAGGAACACCAGUGGCGAAGGCGACUUUCUGGUCUGUAACUGACA
This 615-nucleotide ribosomal RNA is filed under the name Niallia circulans. RNAcentral describes it as "bacterial SSU rRNA". It matches the Rfam family "Bacterial small subunit ribosomal RNA", at positions 145 to 745 of the family's 1533-position model. Lineage: Bacteria; Bacillati; Bacillota; Bacilli; Caryophanales; Bacillaceae. The record is from RNAcentral.